AAACUUUCAACAACGGAUCUCUUGGCUCUCGCACCGAUGAAGAGCGCAGCGAAAUGCGAUAACUAAUGUGAAUUGCAGGCAUCGUGAAUCAUCGAGUUCUUGAACGCACAUUGCGCCCUGUGGUAUUCUGCAGGGCAUGCCUGUUUGAGCGUCGGU
This 156-nucleotide ribosomal RNA is filed under the name Saturnispora ahearnii. RNAcentral's name for it is "5.8S ribosomal RNA". It matches the Rfam family "5.8S ribosomal RNA". Rfam says of the family: 5.8S ribosomal RNA (5.8S rRNA) is a component of the large subunit of the eukaryotic ribosome. It is transcribed by RNA polymerase I as part of the 45S precursor that also contains 18S and 28S rRNA. Functionally, it is thought that 5.8S rRNA may be involved in ribosome translocation. The record is from RNAcentral. RNAcentral also lists the same sequence under 2 other names. Lineage: Eukaryota; Fungi; Ascomycota; Pichiomycetes; Pichiales; Pichiaceae.